RNAcentral lists this ribosomal RNA (492 nucleotides) under uncultured bacterium. RNAcentral describes it as "partial 16S ribosomal RNA". It matches the Rfam family "Bacterial small subunit ribosomal RNA", at positions 28 to 507 of the family's 1533-position model. The record is from RNAcentral.
GACGAACGCUGGCGGCGUGCUUAACACAUGCAAGUGGAGCGACGAACCAGGGCUUGCCCUGGGGCAGAGCCGCGAACGGGUGAGUAACACGUGGGUAACGUGCCCCGAUGACUGGGACAACCCGGGGAAACCCGGGCUAAUACCGGAUGUGCCCCCUCACAUCAGUGAGGUGUGUAAAGGAAGCUUCGGCCUCCGCAUCGGGAUCGGCCCGCGGCCCAUUAGCUUGUUGGUGAGGUAACGGCUCACCAAGGCGGCGAUGGGUAGCUGGUCUGAGAGGACGAUCAGCCACACUGGGACUGAGACACGGCCCAGACUCCUACGGGAGGCAGCAGUGGGGAAUCUUGCGCAAUGCGCGAAGGCGUGACGCAGCAACGCCGCGUGGGGGAAGACGGCCUUCGGGUUGUAAACCCCUUUCAGUUGGGACGAAGGUCGGGCGGUUAACAGCCGUUCCGGCUGACGGUACCUUCACAAGAAGCCCCGGCUAACUACGUG